GUUAGUCCUGAGCAGGGCCACUUAAUAGGCAGCUCACAGUGAGAAGUCUGAUUGCAAAGUUCCCUCAGGAAGCAGGUUUCGGAUGGAGGGCGGCACUUGGUGCUGCACAACUCACAACAAAGAGCAUGUGAGCUGGAGCGUGCAGGGGCGAAAGUAACCCCGGAAAAGGCUUAGGAGAAAAAGUACGUGACAGAAAAUAUACAAAUGAAGUACACUAUCAAGAAAGGAUCAGUUUUCCUCAGCCUGUCAACAAAAUAGAUUAGUGUGCUGCUCAGAACGACUGAAUGAGAAGCAAAGACAGAGAGCAGACGCAGCAAGAUAUUCCACAGCUCAAUAUUGGAAUCAGGAACUGAGUUGAGACGAAAGACCUGAUAUCGUCAGGUUCCCCUCCCGGUGACUCUUAAGACAGCACAGAAGCCUGUUAUUGGUGCUGAGAGUCUGAGAGCAGCGAAGGAAGCUGGGGAGCUGUGCCCCAAGCCUGGGAGCAGGAGAGCUCAGACUGUCCUGAACAACAUGACCAGACACCCCUGGGAGUGAGUGACCAGGACUGGAAUUAAGAUUCCCUACAGUGUGGAAACAGGCCCUUCGGCCCAACCAGUCCACACCGACCCUCCGAGGAGUCACCCACCAAGACCCAUUCCCCUUAAGCACCGAAUGGCCACAUCAGCGGACCUGCACAUCUUUGGACUGUGGGAGGAAACCGGAGCGAAUCCACGCAGAUACGGGGAGAAUGUGCAAACUCCACACAGUCACCUGAGGUUGGAAUCAAACUCAGGCCCCUGGUGGUGUGAGGCAGCAGUGCUAAUCACUGAGCCAUCCUGCUAUUUCUGUCUGGUAUCUACAAGUGCAGAGGCUGGACUCCAUCUAACCAGUCAAUACCAAUACACUGUAUGCACGUUUCUGAACAACUAGAGGCAACUUCCACAUUAUUUCGAUUUCAUUCGGAGCAAAACCACAGGCGUGCACAUAUCAACGGGUCAAACACCAAGAAACCAUGCUGCAGUCAUUGAAAUAGUGAUCCAUUGGAAGGUGAGGACAUGCAGGGAGGGGCACCUAUCAGACAGACGGAAGGAUGAAUAAUUUACUCUAAACCA
Chiloscyllium plagiosum (whitespotted bambooshark) is the source of this 1094-nucleotide non-coding RNA. Lineage: Eukaryota; Metazoa; Chordata; Chondrichthyes; Orectolobiformes; Hemiscylliidae. The record is from RefSeq and is a predicted model, not a curated record.